RNAcentral lists this ribosomal RNA (528 nucleotides) under Escherichia coli. RNAcentral's name for it is "partial 23S ribosomal RNA". It matches the Rfam family "Bacterial large subunit ribosomal RNA", at positions 2193 to 2720 of the family's 2925-position model. The record is from RNAcentral. Lineage: Bacteria; Pseudomonadati; Pseudomonadota; Gammaproteobacteria; Enterobacterales; Enterobacteriaceae.
UGAAAUACCACCCUUUAAUGUUUGAUGUUCUAACGUUGACCCGUGAUCCGGGUUGCGGACAGUGUCUGGUGGGUAGUUUGACUGGGGCGGUCUCCUCCUAAAGAGUAACGGAGGAGCACGAAGGUUGGCUAAUCCUGGUCGGACAUCAGGAGGUUAGUGCAAUGGCAUAAGCCAGCUUGACUGCGAGCGUGACGGCGCGAGCAGGUGCGAAAGCAGGUCAUAGUGAUCCGGUGGUUCUGAAUGGAAGGGCCAUCGCUCAACGGAUAAAAGGUACUCCGGGGAUAACAGGCUGAUACCGCCCAAGAGUUCAUAUCGACGGCGGUGUUUGGCACCUCGAUGUCGGCUCAUCACAUCCUGGGGCUGAAGUAGGUCCCAAGGGUAUGGCUGUUCGCCAUUUAAAGUGGUACGCGAGCUGGGUUUAGAACGUCGUGAGACAGUUCGGUCCCUAUCUGCCGUGGGCGCUGGAGAACUGAGGGGGGCUGCUCCUAGUACGAGAGGACCGGAGUGGACGCAUCACUGGUGUUCGGG